RNAcentral lists this ribosomal RNA (430 nucleotides) under Pseudomonadota bacterium. RNAcentral describes it as "Proteobacteria bacterium partial 16S ribosomal RNA". It matches the Rfam family "Bacterial small subunit ribosomal RNA", at positions 355 to 776 of the family's 1533-position model. The record is from RNAcentral. Lineage: Bacteria; Pseudomonadati; Pseudomonadota.
UGGGGAAUAUUGGACAAUGGGGGGAACCCUGAUCCAGCCAUGCCGCGUGUGUGAAGAAGGCCUUAUGGUUGUAAAGCACUUUAAGCGAGGAGGAGGGUACUGGUAUUAAUACUACCAGCUACUGGACGUUACUCGCAGAAUAAGCACCGGCUAACUCUGUGCCAGCAGCCGCGGUAAUACAGAGGGUGCGAGCGUUAAUCGGAUUUACUGGGCGUAAAGCGUGCGUAGGCGGCUAAUUGAGUCGGAUGUGAAAUCCCCGAGCUUAACUUGGGAAUUGCAUUCGAUACUGGUUAGCUAGAGUGUGGGAGAGGAUGGUAGAAUUCCAGGUGUAGCGGUGAAAUGCGUAGAGAUCUGGAGGAAUACCGAUGGCGAAGGCAGCCAUCUGGCCUAACACUGGCGCUGAGGUACGAAAGCAUGGGGAGCAAACAGG